AGAGACGACCGGAUGGUCGCCGGCUCGGGUCCACUGGACCUGGGCGGGAGGAAAGUCCGGGCGCCACAGAGCGGGGUGGUGGAUAACGUCCACCGGUCGCAAGACUAGGGAAAGUGCCACAGAAAAGAUACCGCCUGGGGGGCUGUCGGCCGUCGGCUCUCGGCCGUCGCGCGAGAAUCGAGGGAUCUAAACACCCUCGUUCUGGCCGAUAGCUGACAGCCAAUAGCCGAUAGCCCUUCAGGUAAGGGUGAAAUGGUGCGGUAAGAGCGCACCGCGGGCGAGGUGACUCGCCUGGCAGGGUAAACCCCACCCGGCGCAAGGCCAAACAGAGGGCAGAGCCGGCUCGGCUCGUUACGACUCUCGGGUAGGCCGCUAGAGGUGUGAGGCAACUCACUCCGUAGAGGAAUGGCCAUCCGUGGCCACGGUUCUCCAAGCGGGAAUCGCAGCCACGACAGAACCCGGCUUACAGGUCGUCUCUGGCU
This 482-nucleotide RNase P RNA is filed under the name Aeoliella straminimaris. Its description in RNAcentral is "Bacterial RNase P class A". It matches the Rfam family "Bacterial RNase P class A". From Rfam's summary of the family: Ribonuclease P (RNase P) is a ubiquitous endoribonuclease, found in archaea, bacteria and eukarya as well as chloroplasts and mitochondria. Its best characterised activity is the generation of mature 5'-ends of tRNAs by cleaving the 5'-leader elements of precursor-tRNAs. Lineage: Bacteria; Pseudomonadati; Planctomycetota; Planctomycetia; Pirellulales; Lacipirellulaceae. The record is from Rfam by way of RNAcentral.